RNAcentral lists this unclassified non-coding RNA (301 nucleotides) under Glomeraceae sp. Its description in RNAcentral is "partial contains 5.8S ribosomal RNA and internal transcribed spacer 2". The stretch from base 1 to 65 matches the Rfam family "5.8S ribosomal RNA", at positions 84 to 154 of the family's 154-position model. Lineage: Eukaryota; Fungi; Glomeromycota; Glomeromycetes; Glomerales; Glomeraceae. The record is from RNAcentral.
GUGAAUCAUCAAAUUUUUGAACGCAAAUUGCACUCUCCUCGGAGAUUAUGCCUGUUUGAGGGUCAGCCUAUAAAAAAUCGACAUCGUUGCUGUUUCGCGGUGACGUUCGUCUGAUAUUGGGUCAUCUUUAAUCCUUUUGGUGUUAAGCGACUUAAAAAUUUCUUUGUGGUUCCAUGAACGUUACUAAGAUUUAUUUCUUUACACGUUUAAGGUAUCGAUUUUUAUUAGAUGUGACCAUCAUAUCGUAUCUCUUCCAUAAUCUUUCAUUAAUUGACCUCAGACAGGUAAGAGUACCCGCUGA